RNAcentral lists this ribosomal RNA (490 nucleotides) under uncultured bacterium. Its description in RNAcentral is "partial 16S ribosomal RNA". It matches the Rfam family "Bacterial small subunit ribosomal RNA", at positions 30 to 507 of the family's 1533-position model. The record is from RNAcentral.
AUUGAACGCUGGCGGCAGGCCUAACACAUGCAAGUCGAACGGUAACAGGAAGAAGCUUGCUUCUUUGCUGACGAGUGGCGGACGGGUGAGUAAUGUCUGUGAAACUGCCUGAUGGAGGGGGAUAACUACUGGAAACGGUAGCUAAUACCGCAUAACGUCUCAAGACCAAAGAGGGGGACCUUCGGGCCUCUUGCCAUCGGAUGUGCCCAGAUGGGAUUAGCUAGUAGGUGGGGUAACGGCUCACCUAGGCGACGAUCCCUAGCUGGUCUGAGAGGAUGACCAGCCACACUGGAACUGAGACACGGUCCAGACUCCUACGGGAGGCAGCAGUAGGGAAUAUUGCGCAAUGGGCGAAAGCUUGACGGAGCAACGCCGCGUGUGUGAUGAAGGUCUUCGGAUCGUAAAGCUCUGUUAUUAGGGAAGAACAAAUGUGUGAUUAACUAUGCACUUCUUGACGGUACCUGAACAGGAAGCCACGGCUAACUACGUG